GAUGAACGCUGGCGGCGUGCUUAAUACAUGCAAGUCGAGCGAACAGACGAUGAGCUUGCUCCUCGCACGUUAGCGGAGGACGGGUGAGUAACACGUGGAUAACCUACCUAUAUUACUGGGAUAACUUCGGGAAACCGGAGCAAAUACCGUAUAAUAUACUGAACCGUAUGGUGCAAUAGUGAAAGACGGUUUUUCGGUCACGUUGAGAUGGAUCCGCGCCGUAUCAGCGUGUUGGUGAGGUAACGGCUUACGAAGGCAACGAUGCGUAGCAGACCUGAGAGGUUGAACGGCCACAGUGGGACUGAGGGACGGCCCAGACUCCUACGGGAGGCAGCAGUGGGGAAUAUGGCACAAUGGGCGGAAGCCGGAUACAGCAACGCCGCGUGCGGGAUGACGGCCUUCGGGUUGUAAACCGCUGUCGCCUGAGACGAAGCGUGAGUGACGGUAAUGGGUAAAGAAGCACCGGCUAACUACGUG
RNAcentral lists this ribosomal RNA (477 nucleotides) under uncultured bacterium. RNAcentral describes it as "partial 16S ribosomal RNA". It matches the Rfam family "Bacterial small subunit ribosomal RNA", at positions 28 to 507 of the family's 1533-position model. The record is from RNAcentral.